AGGGUUCGAUUAUGGCUCAGAACGUACGCUGGCGGCACGCCUAACACAUGCAAGUCGAACGAAGUAGCAAUACUUAGUGGCAGACGGGUGAGUAACAUGUAGGUAUCUGCCCUUUGGCCUGGAAUAACACGAGGAAACUUGUGCUAAUACCGGAUAAGUCUUUACGGAGAAAGCUUUAUGCACCAUUGGAUGAGCCUGCACUUGAUUAGUUUGUUGGUGGGGUAAUGGCCUACCAAGACUGUGAUCAAUAGCUGAUUUGAGAGGAUGAUCAGCCACAUUGGGACUGAGACACGGCCCAAACUCCUACGGGAGGCAGCAGUGGGGAAUCUUGCACAAUGGAGGAAACUCUGAUGCAGCGAUGCCGCGUGAGUGAAGAAGGCCUUUGGGUUGUAAAGCUCUUUCGUCGGGGAAGAAAAUGACUGUACCCGAAUAAGAAGGUCCGGCUAACUUCGUGCCAGCAGCCGCGGUAAUACGAAGGGACCUAGCGUAGUUCGGAAUUACUGGGCUUAAAGAGUUCGUAGGUGGUUGAAAAAGUUGGUGGUGAAAUCCCAGAGCUUAACUCUGGAACUGCCAUCAAAACUUUUCAGCUAGAGUAUGAUAGAGGAAAGCAGAAUUUCUAGUGUAGAGGUGAAAUUCGUAGAUAUUAGAAAGAAUACCAAUUGCGAAGGCAGCUUUCUGGAUCAUUACUGACACUGAGGAACGAAAGCAUGGGUAGCGAAGAGGAUUAGAUACCCUCGUAGUCCAUGCCGUAAACGAUGUGUGUUAGACGUUGGAAAUUUAUUUUCAGUGUCGCAGCGAAAGCGAUAAACACACCGCCUGGGGAGUACGACCGCAAGGUUAAAACUCAAAUGAAUUGACGGGGACCCGCACAAGUAGUGGAGCAUGUGGUUUAAUUCGAAGAUACGCGCAGAACCUUACCAACACUUGACAUGUUCGUCGCGACUUUAAGAGAUUAAAGUUUUCGGUUCGGCCGGACGAAACACAGGUGCUGCAUGGCUGUCGUCAGCUCGUGUCGUGAGAUGUUGGGUUAAGUCCCGCAACGAGCGCAACCCUCACUUUUAGUUGCCAUCAUUUAGUUGGGCACUCUGAAAGAACUGCCAGUGAUAAGCUGGAGGAAGGUGGGGAUGACGUCAAGUCCUCAUGGCCCUUACGUGUUGGGCUACACACGUGCUACAAUGGUAUCUACAACAGGAAGCAAAACGGCGACGUUAAGCAAAUCCUUAAAAGAUACCUCAGUUCGGAUUGCACUCUGCAACUCGAGUGCAUGAAGCUGGAAUUACUAGUAAUCGUGGAUCAGCGUGCCACGGUGAAUGCGUUCCCGGGUCUUGUACACACCGCCCGUCACACCAUGGGAGUUGGUUCUACCUUAAGGCAAGGUUUAAAACCCUUGACCACGGUAUAGUCAGCGACUGGGGUGAAGUCGUAACAAGGUAACCA
This 1437-nucleotide ribosomal RNA is filed under the name uncultured marine microorganism. RNAcentral describes it as "bacterial SSU rRNA". It matches the Rfam family "Bacterial small subunit ribosomal RNA". The record is from RNAcentral.